Molecule: ribosomal RNA, 494 nt
Filed under: uncultured bacterium
Lineage: Bacteria
Description: partial 16S ribosomal RNA
Rfam family: Bacterial small subunit ribosomal RNA
Source: RNAcentral
GACGAACGCUGGCGACGUGCCUAAUACAUGCAAGUAGAACGCUAAAGGAGGAGCUUGCUUCUCCGGAUGAGUUGCGAACGGGUGAGUAACGCGUAGGUAACCUGCCUGGUAGCGGGGGAUAACUAUUGGAAACGAUAGCUAAUACCGCAUAAGAGUAGAUGUCGCAUGACAUUUGCUUAAAAGGUGCAACUGCACCACUACCAGAUGGACCUGCGUUGUAUUAGCUAGUUGGUGAGGUAACGGCUCACCAAGGCAACGAUACAUAGCCGACCUGAGAGGGUGAUCGGCCACACUGGAACUGAGACACGGCCCAGACUCCUACGGGAGGCAGCAGUAGGGAAUCUUCGGCAAUGGACGGAAGUCUGACCGAGCAACGCCGCGUGAGUGAAGAAGGUUUUCGGAUCGUAAAGCUCUGUUGUAAGAGAAGAACGAGUGUGAGAGUGGAAAGUUCACACUGGGACGGUAUCUUACCAGAAAGGGACGGCUAACUACGU